This 253-nucleotide unclassified non-coding RNA is filed under the name uncultured Flavobacteriaceae bacterium. RNAcentral describes it as "contains 16S-23S intergenic spacer region". It matches the Rfam family "Bacterial small subunit ribosomal RNA", at positions 524 to 776 of the family's 1533-position model. The record is from RNAcentral. Lineage: Bacteria; Pseudomonadati; Bacteroidota; Flavobacteriia; Flavobacteriales; Flavobacteriaceae.
UACGGAGGAUCCAAGCGUUAUCCGGAAUCAUUGGGUUUAAAGGGUCUGUAGGCGGGUUGAUAAGUCAGUGGUGAAAGUCUGCAGCUUAACUGUAGAAUUGCCAUUGAUACUGUCGUCCUUGAGCUAUUGUGAAGUGGUUGGAAUAUGUAGUGUAGCGGUGAAAUGCAUAGAUAUUACAUAGAAUACCGAUUGCGAAGGCAGAUCACUAAUAAUUUACUGACGCUGAGGGACGAAAGCGUAGGUAACGAACAGG